Molecule: long non-coding RNA, 249 nt
Organism: Cydia splendana
Lineage: Eukaryota; Metazoa; Arthropoda; Insecta; Lepidoptera; Tortricidae
Exons: 3
Source: RefSeq, a predicted model, not a curated record
GUAAUAGUACAUUUCGAUGCUAGUGCGGAAGGUAUGUCAUUACUACACGACGAGUGGCAAGACUCGGGGCGAGUGAAGAAUGACAUUUCCGCACGUGUAUCGAACGACGUUUUUUAAUACAGUUGCGAAAAAAUAAGAAAAACAACAAUUUUUUUUUUCAAAUGUCUAUAAGUCAUAAACAAUUGUAAAUAUAAAACAUUGUAUUAUUAUUACCUAAGGAUCGUUAUUUACGAUUAUUUGUGUAUCGUA